AGCCGCCGCGGUAACACCGGCGGCCCGAGUGGUGAUCGUGAUUAUUGGGUCUAAAGGGUCCGUAGCCGGUUUGGUCAGUCCUCCGGGAAAUCUGAUAGCUCAACUAUUAGGCUUUCGGGGGAUACUGCCAGACUUGGAACCGGGAGAGGUAAGAGGUACUACAGGGGUAGGAGUGAAAUCUUGUAAUCCCUGUGGGACCACCUGUGGCGAAGGCGUCUUACCAGAACGGGUUCGACGGUGAGGGACGAAAGCUGGGGGCACGAACCGGAUUAGAUACCCGGGUAGUCCCAGCCGUAAACGAUGCUCGCUAGGUGUCAGGCAUGGCGCGACCGUGUCUGGUGCCGCAGGGAAGCCGUGAAGCGAGCCACCUGGGAAGUACGGCCGCAAGGCUGAAACUUAAAGGAAUUGGCGGGGGAGCACAACAACGGGUGGAGCCCUGCGGUUUAAUUGGACUCAACGCCGGACAACUCACCGGGGGCGACAGCAAUAUGUAGGCCAAGCUGAAGACUUUGCCUGAAUCGCUGAGAAGAGGUGCAUGG
Molecule: ribosomal RNA, 539 nt
Filed under: uncultured archaeon
Lineage: Archaea
Description: bacterial SSU rRNA
Rfam family: Archaeal small subunit ribosomal RNA
Source: RNAcentral